GUAACAGAAAAUUUGGGCUCAAUGGUGGUUGUAAGCCAAGGACAACCUGUAUGUGUACAACAUUAAUGCCCAUAAAUAGGGCACGUUUCCAAUUGCAGCCAUAAUCAUCAUCUUGACUUUUUUGGCAAGAGGGGAAAAAACUAACCAAUUUUACAGAAUCAGUUAAACUGGGACAAAGUUUAAUAGAUUUUGUAGUAUUUGAAGUUGCCCUUGAACAGUUUCAAACUAAUGGGUGAAAUACAACUUUAAAAUAAUAUAGCUAAAGACGACUUGAGGUGGUCUUUUUUAGUAGGCAAGAAUGAAAUGAAGGCACUGUCAUGGGAAUGAGAUCACUAUCAUGGUGCCAUGGUAGAAAAAGGAGAUUGUCAGGUCAAUUCUCAGGUGCAGGGUGUCCACAGGGGCAUACCAUGCAUCUGAAGCCAUAUAACAAUUGGCUUUGUGUGAUUGCGGCCUCCAUCUUGAUAGUCCUCCCUAUGGGUGCCCCUGCUUAUGUGCUUUCCAAAGAAAAAAUCCACACGAGGCACAAAGAAUGGCCUACAAGCAUAGGCAGAAGAUGGGGCUUGCCUCCAAAAAUUAUGGCUGCUUCACCACUAGACAUUUUUAAGAAGAGAUUGGACAGCCAUUUGUCCAGAAUGGUAUAGUCUCCUGGUUAGGCAGGGGUUGGACUAGAGGACCUCCAAGGUCUCUUCCAACUCUGUUCUUCUGUUAUUCAAUUUGCAGAAUUGAGGGCUGUCUUGGCAACUGAAAUUCAUGGCAAUUGAUUAUUAAAAUCUUAUUUGUUGCAUUCCUAAUAUCAGAGAGAGAAAUCAGCUUUGCUGGAGUUUCUGCCUCAAUUGUUCAGAUCAUUUCAUCUGCCUGGAGUAAUUUUAUAAUAUGGAUGCUGGGGCUUUUGACCACAUAUUCGGCUUUCCACAGUCCGCAGGCAUAUCCGUAGGCAAAUUUCCUUGACUGUGCACGCAACUUUUUGCAUGCCGUUUCUGAAUUGAGAAUUGGGUGGCAGAGAGGGGGAGAGUGAAAAGGUAACAACCCAUAAUUCUCCAGCUUCCCUGCGCGCCUCUGGGCGGGAGGUCAGCGAGGCAAGAGGCGCCAUUCCCAGCCUCUGUCUCGGGCGCCCAACGGGCUCGGACCGCUUCGGGCGUCCCGCUUCUCCUGUCCCAAGAAGCCUAGCAGCAAGCCUUUUUUACCGUAAUUCCUGGUGGCGCCCCUGUUCCGCCGCCACGCACGCCCGGGAGGAGGGGGCGAGGCUGAGCUCCAGUGAGAAAACGCGGGGCCUGACGCUGCAUCUGCAGAAGAGAAAAGGGAGCAAUAUGAUCAAUACGGUUUCUUUGUGGGGCCUCGCUUACCUCGGCGGGAGACCAUCUGCUCCCUGUCAAUGGAUCACCUGCUCGUCUGACUUGUUGGCGGGGCAACGGAUUUGCCAUCUGGUCUCACGUGCAUAUUUACUUCAGCAUGACUGUUCAGGCUUCCUGAAUAUAAGAUUUCCAUUCAAGUAAUGGUACAUAGGAUUUCAGCUGAAAACUGAAACCUUGAACGUGUUUAUCAAAAUACAUAAGACAGAGUGACUGACAUUUUCAGCAAAGGCUCACACAUUUUCAGUGUGUGUUCCGUUUCAUCACUUCUUAGUGUUACAGUUUCUUACCUGUUCUCUCUGCAAAACCUAAAUAUGAUGGUUUGGGACAAUAUUUGGAUACCAGCAUUAAUAAAUUCUUAACUGGGCACUAUUUUAUUUCAUGUAAUGUAUAAGAAUGUAUAGAAUGUUGCUUUUAAUUUAGAAGGUUUGGAUCAGAAUGUAGUCUACUUUUUCUGGGCUUUUUUUUAAACUACACCAUCUUACAUUUUUGCAAACCCAGCUUAUUUCAGUAUCUAGAAUAAAUUAUACAAAUAACUUAA
Molecule: long non-coding RNA, 1890 nt
Organism: Crotalus tigris (Tiger rattlesnake)
Lineage: Eukaryota; Metazoa; Chordata; Lepidosauria; Squamata; Viperidae
Exons: 2
Source: RefSeq, a predicted model, not a curated record